This 510-nucleotide long non-coding RNA is filed under the name Capra hircus (goat). RNAcentral describes it as "lncRNA (ENSCHIG00010022346.1)". Lineage: Eukaryota; Metazoa; Chordata; Mammalia; Artiodactyla; Bovidae. The record is from RNAcentral.
UCCUUGCUUUCUUCUGGAAACCAUCUUUCACAGGUUGAAGUCAAUGGGAUGCCAGAAACUGUUACCUAGGUGGCCUUGGAUCCUGUUUGUGACCAAGCUUGCCACAGCAGACGCAGUUAUGAGAAUUAGGGUGGGCCCUCUGGUCUCUGAAGAAACGUGAUGUUUUGGAAGUGACUCCUGCCCUGACUGCUCUGGGUAGGCCUAAUUUGCCAAAGGAUACCUCAUAGCACCUUGUCACAUGACUUGCUGCAAAACCAUCUCAGUCCCAAUGACACUGACCUGCAGUGUGGAACUGGCUUAUAUCAGCAUGUUAUUACUAAUUAUUGAGACGAGUUUGAGUUCUACAUGCUACAAAAAGAUGUCACUCCCCAAACUGACGGCUAUUUAGGCUCAUCAACUCUGCGGACAUGAAUCCCAGGACAAAUUUGUUGUUUUUUUAAAAAAUUUCUUCAGUUCAGUUGCUCAGUCAUGUCCGACUCUUUGCUACCCCAUGAACUGCAGCACGCCAGG